This 3438-nucleotide ribosomal RNA is filed under the name Triticum aestivum (bread wheat). Its description in RNAcentral is "partial small subunit ribosomal RNA". The record is from RNAcentral. Lineage: Eukaryota; Viridiplantae; Streptophyta; Magnoliopsida; Poales; Poaceae.
AUGGUGUCUUCAAGUGCCUUUUUGUUUCCAGGCCUCUAUCGUUUUCUCUGCCUCUUCUUGGGCUUCUUCUGCAGCCUGCCAUUACUAGGCAUCUGCGAUGAAUCAGAGAGCGACAGGCAAGCCCUCCUCUGCUUCAAGUCCGGGAUCUCGGCACCCGCCGGAGUUCUAGCUUCAUGGAGCAACGCGUCCAUGGAAUUCUGUGACUGGCAUGGGAUCACCUGCAGCGUGACACCAUCCAGGCGUGUCGUUGCGCUGGACCUUGAAUCCCAAGGCAUCUCGGGCUCCAUAGCGCCUUGCAUCGCCAACCUCACUUGGCUGGCAAGGCUCCAGCUGUCUAACAACAGCUUCAGUGGUGGCCUGCCGUCGGAGCUUGGCCUCCUGAGCCGGCUCACCAACCUCAACCUCAGCAUCAACGCUUUGGAAGGUAACAUCCCGCCUGAACUCUCUGCGUGUUCCCAGCUCCAAAUCGUGGGCUUGUGGAAUAAUUCCUUCCGUGGAGAGAUCCCACCUACCCUUAGCCAAUGCAAGCACCUUCAAGAGAUUGACCUUAGCAACAACAAGCUCCAAGGAAGCAUCCCUCCCGCUUUCGGAGACCUUCCUGCACUGUGCAUACUAGUUCUCGCCAAAAACAUGCUUACCGGCACCAUACCACCGUCUUUCGGCAGUAGCUGUCAUCUCACAUACGUCGAUCUCGGGAUCAAUGGUCUCGGAGGGGUAAUCCCGGAGUCCUUGGCAAAUAGCUCAUCCCUUCAAGUACUUAGGCUUAUGAGCAAUAGUCUUACUGGAGAACUCCCAAAGGAUCUUCUCAACACUUUGUCACUUGGUACCAUUAGCCUCGAAGAUAACAGUUUUGUUGGUUCAAUACCCUCUAUUACUGUCACAUCUUCCCCUAUUAAGCAUCUUGAUUUAGGGAAUAACAAUCUUUCAGGAAGAAUACCUUCCUCAGUAGGGAACCUUUCCUCCCUAGUUUAUCUUCGUCUUACAAACAAUCAUUUAGUUGGGAGCAUCCCGGAGAGCUUAGGUUAUAUUCCAACACUAGAGACAUUGACCUUGCAUAUAAACAACUUAUCUGGGCCGGUUCCACCGUGUAUCUUCAACAUGUCAUCUCUGAGAAGUCUCGCCAUAGCAAAUAACACACUUGUCGGAAGAUUACCCUUCGACAUCGGCUACACGCUCCCCAAUAUCCAGAACCUACUACUCUCACAAAAUAGUUUUGAUGGACCAAUCCCAGCCUCACUUCUCAAAGCUUACCACCUACGCUGGCUUUACCUGAAUGGUAAUAGCUUUACUGGAUCCAUACCAUUUUUCGGCUCAUUGCCAAAUUUGGAGGAACUCGAUUUGGGACACAACAAGCUAGAAGCAGAUGACUGGGGCUUUGUCUCUUCACUAUCUAAUUGCUCCGGGUUGACCAUGCUGGCCCUGGAUGGGAACAAUCUCAAAGGGAAAUUGCCAAGUUCUAUCGGCAACCUUUCGAACAGUCUCGAGUGUCUGUACCUAAGUAGUAACCAAAUUUCUGGACCUAUACCACCAGAGAUUGGCAAUCUUAAGAGCCUCAGUAGCUUGUACAUGAAUUACAAUCUUCUCACCGGUAAUAUACCACCAACAAUUGGGAAAUUGCAGAACUUGGUCUAUCUAUCCUUUGCGCAAAACAGGCUUUCAAGUCAGAUUCCAGAUACUUUUAGCAAUUUUGUCCAGCUGAGUAUGCUGGAAAUGGAUCAUAACAACUUUAGUGGAAGAAUACCUGCAAGUAUAGCACAGUGCACUCAACUGACCACACUCAACCUUGCUCACAACUCACUAGAUGGGCAUAUACCAAGAGAAAUCUUCAAACUCUCUACGCUUUCUGAAGAGUUGGACUUGUCAGACAACAACUUGUCUGGAGGAAUGCCAGAUGAAGUUGGCAAUCUCAUUCAUCUGCAGAAAAUCAACAUGUCAAAUAACAGGUUGUCUGGUAACAUCCCAUCAACUCUCAGCCAGUGUGUUGUUCUGGAGUAUCUUGGGAUGCAAAGCAACUUGUUUGCAGGAAGCAUUCCACAAUCAUUUGCCAACUUAGUCAGCAUAAAACAGAUGGAUGUUUCUAGGAACAAUUUGUCUGGAAAAAUUCCAGAGUUCCUCAAAUCCAUGAAAUCACUGCAAGACCUCAAUUUAUCCUUCAACCAUUUUGAUGGAGCAGUUCCAACAGGCGGUGUUUUUGACAUCGCUGGUGCAGUGUCAAUCGAAGGAAAUUAUCAUCUGUGUACAAGCAUUCCAACAAGAGGUAUGUCUCUUUGUUCAGCAGUGGUUGACAGGAAAAGAAAGCAGAAGCUACUGCUUCUAGUUCUACUGCUAACUGUUGUUGCCACUGCAAUCCUUUUCUCAUUAAUUGCAACAAUUUGUUUGAGGAAAAGGAUGAAAACCAAUCCCCAUUUGCAACAUGAUAAUGAGCAGAUAAAGAUAGAGAAGAUAGCAUAUGAAAAGGUAUCAUAUAAAGACUUGGUAAGGGCAACUGAUAGAUUUUCUUCAGCAAACUUAAUUGGUUCUGGAUCAUUUGGAAGGGUUUAUAAGGGCAGUCUGCAGUUUCAAGAAGAUCAAGUUGCCAUCAAGAUUUUUGAUCUUGACAUUAAUGGGGCACAUCGGAGCUUCAUAGCAGAGUGUGAAGCCCUAAGAAAUGUUCGCCAUCGGAAUCUUGUAAAAAUCAUUACCUUAUGCUCUUCAGUGGAUCAUACUGGGGCAGAUUUCAAGGCCCUAGUGUUCCCAUACAUGCCAAAUGGGAACCUAGAAAUGUGGCUACAUCUAAAAGACCCUGAAAAUGGUGAAAGGAGUAUUCUGACUUUAAGCCAAAGGACUAACAUAGCCUUGGAUGUAGCACUUGCUUUGGAUUAUCUUCACAACCAAUGUGCACCUCCAGUUAUACAUUGCGACUUGAAGCCAACCAAUAUUCUUUUGGGUCUUGACAUGGUUGCGUACGUCAUUGACUUUGGCCUAGCAAGAUUCUUGUUCAGGACAGAAAAUGCACAUCAAGAUAGUUCAGCAACUUUGAGCCGCUUAAAAGGAACCAUAGGAUACAUCCCACCAGAGUAUGGAAUGAGCGAAGAGAUAUCAACCAAGGGUGAUGUCUAUAGUUUCGGGGUGCUUCUGUUGCAACUGAUAACAGGGUGCAGUCCAACUGAAGAAAAAUUUAAUGAUGGUAUAAGCCUUCAUGAAUUUGUUGAUAGAGCAUUUACAAAGAAUAUUCACGAGGUUGUUGACCCCACAAUGCUACAUGAUAACAGCAGUGCAACUGACAUGAUGAAGAAUUGCGUUAUUCCACUUUUAAGAAUAGGCCUCUCUUGCUCCAUGAAAUCAGCCAAAGAGCGGCCAGAUAUGAGACGAGUUUCUACCGAGAUCCUUAGAAUAAAGCACAUGGCCUCAUACACAUGCAUGUCAGAUGAAGCAAAGAAUUGGCAGGAAAGUAGCUAG